This 301-nucleotide ribosomal RNA is filed under the name uncultured bacterium. RNAcentral describes it as "partial 16S ribosomal RNA". It matches the Rfam family "Bacterial small subunit ribosomal RNA", at positions 509 to 807 of the family's 1533-position model. The record is from RNAcentral.
CAGCAGCCGCGGGAAUACGGAGGGUGCAAGCGUUAAUCGGAAUUACUGGGCGUAAAGCGCACGCAGGCGGUCUGACAAGUCAGAUGUGAAAUCCCCGGGCUUAACCUGGGAACUGCAUUUGAAACUGUCAGGCUGGAGUCUUGUAGAGGGGGGUGGAAUUCCAGGUGUAGCGGUGAAAUGCGUAGAGAUCUGGAGGAAUACCGGUGGCGAAGGCGGCCCCCUGGACAAAGACUGACGCUCAGGUGCGAAAGCGUGGGGAGCAAACAGGAUUAGAUACCCCAGUAGUCCCUGUCCCUUAUAC